AUGUUCGUUAAUGAUUUGUUUUAACAUGUGAGAAUUGUUUCCCUGUCGGUUUUCCUGCGUCAAUUGCUAAUGGAAAUGAGGGAAAGGAAAAAUUACAAUGGAAAUUAAUACCGGGAAUGAUUUGUUGUCGAAUUGAAGAUUGUAGGGUGAAAAAUGCACUUCAUGUCUUCCUCGGAGGGAAUUAAUUGACUGUAGAGUUGGACGAAUUUCUUGAAAGGACACAAUUCGUUGCAUCCAGGAAUAAUUAUUCUGGUGCGCUCUGCGGGAAUCCCCAGGAGUUCCAUAAAUAUUGCACUGCUGUACUGGGGAUGAUCGGAUUCAAAAACCCCAAGGGUUAUCAGAAGACCAGC
Molecule: long non-coding RNA, 350 nt
Organism: Fopius arisanus
Lineage: Eukaryota; Metazoa; Arthropoda; Insecta; Hymenoptera; Braconidae
Exons: 3
Source: RefSeq, a predicted model, not a curated record